GAACGAUUCCUUUAUUUUUUUACUUUUUCCAUUUAAUUUUUAAUUUGUUUCUUUUUGUUUGUGUUCCAUUUCCUGAUCAAUUCCGCAUUGGAACCAUCCUAAUCAAGCGCUAGGGUUUUGUUUCAAUCCCCCUCUCGGGGGUUUCCCCAAAAAAAUCCCAUUUUUAACCCUAAAAGGCUCAAUUUUUUCUCAGUUGGAGUUAUAAAUAUUAGCUUUUGGUUUUUUCUACAUCAAUGUUGGAUUUUGGGUGCAUUCCUGUAUAAUUUGAUGCUCUUGUGCUUAAAUUUGCUUUGAGUUUGUUGUACUAAAGGUGCAUAUCCAUGGAAGCAUUGUAAUGUAUGCUUAGCCUUAAUAAUUUCUUAGAGUUGAUUUCAGCGUCCGUAUUAAGGGUCUGUUUGAUCUUGCUGCACGAUACCGUACUGUUUGAUAAAGUGUUGUCUGAAUAGUGCGAUCAGUAAAAAUGUUAUAUUUAUACGCCACCAACACUACUUUUGACGGUCAGAAUCUCAUUUCUGCUUCCUGAUGCAGUAAAAGUUUUAGACUUUUCUCUUUGCAGAGUGUUCUAGAAGAGGUUGCUAUUGCUGAAAGUGGAAGUAGAAGCUUCGGCCGCACAGGCACUAAAGGCUUAUGUCAGAACUUAAUUCGCGCAAUCAGCUCCUUAUUGGGCAUUCUUACCAUCUUAAAUGCAAGGAUAUGUAAUAUUUAGUUGAUUGCACGUAGUUAUAGUUUUGCCCUUAGAGUCCAUUGUCGAACAUUUGUAUCUCUCGCUAAUCAUGAGAUUGUGAAAUUGUGAUAUAUAUACUGUUUGCUUCUAUGUCGUAAGCUUACAUUCAAAGAUUUCUCCCCAGUGCACUUCAUGCUAGAGUCUAAUAAGUUCAUGCUGAAAAGUUUAACAUGUGAAGAACUUGCAGCGUAAUUUGUUCUCUGUCCCUUCAGAUUAGCUCUAUUCUUACAGAUGAAAAUCAGUGGGUGAUAUUAUUCAAUUUGUCUACUUCUGAGGGUUUCUCUUUUCUUUGUUUUUCUGUGUAAUAACUUCCCUUUUGCAUUGUUUAAUGAACAGAUUGACUCGGCCAACUUGCAUGCUUUUGAGGUAUUAUCUUUUACUUGGGCUAAGAGGCUAAGCACAAAAUGCGAGAUGGGCUCCCGUCUGAAGCUGUCUGGCAUGCAAAAGCAGGUUUUGGGCCUGUACAGAGGAUUCCUGCGGGCAGCUCGAUUGAAGGCCGCGGAGGAGCGUCGUGCGAUUGAGUCGGUUGUUUCGACCGAGUUCCGCCACAACGCGAAGAACGUUGAUCGCAAGAAUUUUAUUUACAUUGAGUACUUGCUGAGACGCGGAAAGAAGCAACUUGAGCAACUCAAGAAUCCUGAUACCACUGGCUUAUUGACCCUUAAAGCCUCUUCAUCUGCCGCAGCAAGUUCGCAAUCUGAUGCUGGAACUUCUGUCCCUUCUCAUGAUCAAUGGGAUGUUGAUGAAUCAAACGAUAACAUUACAGCGAGUCGAUCAUGAUCACAUAUGCCCCCCUUCCUUUACAGAGAACUUAAGAUUGGGAAAAAUUUUGAAUAGAAAUUUGUUGAGAUCUCCAACAUGGUGAAUUCUGUUAUUACUAGUAGCCACCAGAAACCGUGCAGUGUUGAAAUUCACAUCACCAACAUAGUUUUCGAGAAUAAGACAGAUACCAGAUAUAUCUGCUUUUACUCCUGAGGUUCAAUUCAACUCUCUUAUAUUAGUUGCUGUAACAUGACUUCUUGAGCUCAGCAAUCCGUGGGUCGAGUUAUAUGAUUAUAAUCACAUCUUUAGCCCAAACAUGUUGUUCCAAGCAACAAAGCUGCAUGCUUGAAAGCACUUGGUGGGGGCCCAAUUCUCCACCUCAGCUUUCUCCAGAUCUUUGUCGGCCACAUGUCGAUUUCGAGCCGCCAGGUGGAGUCGCCUGAUUGGUUCCUUCGUGUCGCUGUGUUUGCUUGUAAUUGGGUGGAGAGUGUAAAAAAAAAAAAAAAAAUCCCAUUUUUGCUGGAUAGAGCUAGAAUAUGGUCUAAAUUAUGCCAAAUUAUAUAUGAAUUUGUAUAAUUUGAAUU
Ananas comosus (pineapple) is the source of this 2070-nucleotide RNA transcript. It is a transcript of the gene named succinate dehydrogenase assembly factor 1A, mitochondrial, with no coding region annotated. Lineage: Eukaryota; Viridiplantae; Streptophyta; Magnoliopsida; Poales; Bromeliaceae. The transcript is spliced from 3 exons. The record is from RefSeq and is a predicted model, not a curated record.